This 142-nucleotide unclassified non-coding RNA is filed under the name uncultured Ascomycota. RNAcentral describes it as "sequence contains ITS2". The record is from RNAcentral. Lineage: Eukaryota; Fungi; Ascomycota.
CAACCCUCAAGCACUGCUUGGUGUUGGGUGCCACUUUUUGUGCACCUUAAAAUCAGUGGCGAUGCCCUGCAGCUUCAAGUGUAGUAAAUUUCUCGCUCUGAAGCUUGUCAGAAACACUGCCAACAACCCUCUAUUUAUCUAA